UUAAUUUGUGGUUAAUUUUAUUUUUUGUUUGUUUGUUCAUUGUAGGUUGCUCUGGACAGAGCGAGCUUUAAUCCUCCUUGAUAAUCUUGUUGAGAAAGGUACCCCUGGAGAUGACCACUUCCAGCCUUCCAGUUAUCUUUUCUCCAUUGCUAAACUGGAUUGCUCAGGACAGGUAUUUUAUACCCACACACCAAAGAAACUUUUUGAAGUUUGGGCAGAUGCAUCACUGCGGAUCCUCUCAUAUUGCAAAAAAAGAGAAGAGAGCCUUGGAUCUACCAGUUCAAGCAAACAUUUCAUCUGACAGCCUUGGAGAUCCCACUUUGGAGGUGUCGCUUUAACAACUCAGCCAGCUAUCAUUUCUUCACUGCCAUACAGAUUGUGCAGCAAGAUGGUUCGGCCCUCAUACCAGGAGGCAAAACAAGAAUUUGUUGAUUUGCGACUUCUAGGUGCAUUAUUUAUGACAAUAAAUGUUGGACAUUAUUUAAUUCA
Danio aesculapii is the source of this 489-nucleotide long non-coding RNA. RefSeq lists it as uncharacterized. The record is from RefSeq and is a predicted model, not a curated record. The transcript has 4 exons. Lineage: Eukaryota; Metazoa; Chordata; Actinopteri; Cypriniformes; Danionidae.